CCCUGGUUAGCUGAAUUGGCAGAGUGCUCCACUGGAAAUGGAGAGGUCCCAGGUUAUACCCGGACCAGGCG
Molecule: transfer RNA, 71 nt
Filed under: Ixodes scapularis (black-legged tick)
Lineage: Eukaryota; Metazoa; Arthropoda; Arachnida; Ixodida; Ixodidae
Rfam family: tRNA
About the family: Transfer RNA (tRNA) molecules are approximately 80 nucleotides in length.
Source: Rfam by way of RNAcentral